AUGAAUAUGGCGAAAAGGUAAACGCGCUAAAUUUAGAAUUUAGUUUUUAUAAUAAUAAGAGUUCGAAUCUCUUUAUUCAUA
This 81-nucleotide transfer RNA is filed under the name Plasmodium berghei. Its description in RNAcentral is "Leu transfer RNA (tag)". It matches the Rfam family "tRNA". Rfam says of the family: Transfer RNA (tRNA) molecules are approximately 80 nucleotides in length. RNAcentral also lists the same sequence under 1 other name. The record is from RNAcentral. Lineage: Eukaryota; Apicomplexa; Aconoidasida; Haemosporida; Plasmodiidae.